UCUCGUCAGGGACACACUGUAUCUGCAGCCCAUUCCAAGCAGGAGCUGUAACCUCCACCAACUUCAAAUAUAAGUAUGACAAAAAGCACAAGGCAGACACACAGACCCUACUCUCCCAGACGGACUUCAGCACAGCUGGGAAACGGGUGCGAGGGAGACCAGCCAACAGAUCUGGAAACUUAAGGGCCAGAAAGUACAAAUCCAGACCAAAGUUUUGUUUCAACCAACCAAUUGAGUACACUGUAACUGUGACUCUUUACACUCAGCUGGUUGGUUGAAACAAAACCUUGGUCUGGAUUCGUACUGCAUUCUGAGAACAGGGCUCCUUACAGCGGCUACUGCUCACAAACACAGAAAGAGCACAGAGUGAAUGAAACCCCUCUGUCCCCAAGGACCUGAAGCCCCCUUCCUGCUCCAGAACACUGGAACUGGAAAAAGAUCCCUGAAACCAAGCCUGAGGAACAGCGAGAUGAGAUACCCCGUGUCAGGCUUUCGGCCUACCCCAGAGGAGUCUGGCCCCUGAAGCAGGCCCCUCUAGCUGUGUGUGUAAGUGAAUCCCACCACCUACACUGUGCAACACUGCACUGACCAAGCAGCUUGCUAGUGCUGCAUAUGUAGGCUGUGACACGGAGAAGCUGGAAUGUGUGUGCAGACUGCGAUGAGGGCCGGAAUGACCACACACCCCCCAUCUGGGCAGGAGAAUCAGGAUGCCUAUAUCGCAGCGCUCAGUUUGAGCUGGAUUGGGCAGGGCCUGGGCGGGGAAAGGGGGGGCUGCAAGCUGCAGUAGAGUUUAAUGGAGGGAGAAGUAUAACUCAAUGUCACUGUUAGGAGGCAAUUCCUGUAGGUGGCCAGGACUCACGUAAGGAAACUUAUGGUGGUUUGAUUUAGCUCACGUUCUGCUGAAGUAGAUGCUAGUGCACAAUGUGCUCAAUUAACCAUCAACUGGAUCAACAGCAGGCAGGUGACACUGUUUAAGGUCCCUGCUCUCCUAUGAUGCGCAGAUCACCAUGGACAUUUCCAACCUUUCCAUACCGGCUGUGAGAAGAAACCAGUGACUAAAACAGCAGGUGUAGAAACUAACAGUCAUAGCGAUACCUCAUUCAUCCCUGUGCAGAUGGAUUUAUUAUCAGUUGGUGAAUUAAUCAAUUGGGACCAGGUAUUUCUUUUUUGCAGCAUCUGAAGUUAAUAGAAUAAAUUAUUUUUGUACAAUAAAGUGCUGGAACUGGAUUUUGUCCAAUUCCACACUUGCAAGGAAUGCAGAACACAUCACCGUGCACGUGAUUCAUAUCCCAAGCUGCACUGCUCAAAGAACGCAUCACCGUGCAUGUGAUUCAUGUCCCAAGCUGCACUGCUCAAAGAACGCAUCACCGUGCAUGUGAUUCAUGUCCCAAGCUGCACUGCUCAAAGAACGCAUCACCGUGCAUGUGAUUCAUGUCCCAAGCUGCAAUGCUCUAAGAACACAUCACCGUGCAUGUGAUUCAUGUCCCGAGCUGCACUGCUCUAAGAACGCAUCACCGUGCAUGUGAUUCAUGUCCCGAGCUGCACUGCUCUAAGAACACAUCACCGUGCAUGUGAUACAUGUCCCAAGCUGCACUGCUCUAAGAACACAUCACCGUGCAUGUGCUUCAUGUCCCAGGCUGCACUGCUCUAAGAACACACUACAGAUCCUGUUCUCUGUUCAUGUUCAAUGACAGCAUGCAGUGGUCACACCACAAAGGUGUAUGUGCUCCUCUGGGCUGUAGUAAUGGUGCUGGCCCCUCACUGUCACCAAAGCAACCAGAAAAUUGCCGUUACCUCCUCAAAGUAAAUACGUACAUCAAGGAAGCACAGUCGAUCAGAAUUUCAGUGGUUCUGGGACCUGUUACUUCUGCAAAAAUUUUUAUCAGCAGCAUGAAAAUAAUCCAUGACCGUAAUAAGGUACUAAUAACAGGGUUAUUCCUGUCUGCCUGAUAAAAACACAAAGAUAUUGAAGAUCUUUAAAGUUUUGGGGAACAUACGUUUAAUGAGUAAAUAGAACAAGCUGCUCAUUGACCAUAUCUGGGCCAAAUCCAAAUUAAAUUUAAAGAAGAUGUAGGGAUCCCGAAGACAGACGCCGAAUGGCAGCAACUCAAACAGAAAUCUCUGGUCCAAUGGUCCAGCAGCACAGACAAACAGGGGCGUGGCCAACAGCUCCAUGCAGCACAAUGACGGCACGACGCCAGAAACAGACCUCAUCCUACACCAUCAUCCCUAACAGCCCUUGGCUCAACACUUGGCAGUAACACUGAAAUAAAACUAAGUGUUGGAGAUACUUAAAGGAGGGCACUUUCCUGGGGAGGUGCAGUCACACCUCCUGAGCGAGCAGCUUAACCCCUCUGCUAGUCACCACGUCUAGGUUAAGAACAGCUGAAGUGUUACUUUCAAACUAACUAUUCUCAUUUCAUCCAGCAAGCUGCUCACUACAUAUGAAAGAUGGGUGGGUGUCUUUAUUUUGGAGUCUUAUGUUCCAUCCAGUUUGACGAGUUCUAAUAUACUUCAUUGAUAGUAUGAUUAAAAGGUUUAUUGGUCCAGGCUGCAUGCACCUCCAUCAUUCUCUUCUCAGCCCAGUACCUUCACUAAAGACAAGCAGUGCACAGUGAAUAUGAAACCGAACACAGAGUAAAAUGCUAUACAGUAAAUCAAACAUAACCAAUAAAAAUCAGCACUUUUCAGUUUAAAAAUCCAAAAAUAGGGAUGAUUAAAUUGUCCAUAGGUGUGAAUGGUGGGCCUGUGUGUUUUUACCUGUCAGUUUAUGCAUGUCUCUGCAUGUGUGCCCUGUGAUGGGUUGGUGCCCCAUCCUGGGUUGUUCCCUGCCCUGUGCCUGUAGCCUCCGGGAUAGGCUCCGGACCACUGCGGGACACUGGCGUGCUCAGGUACCAGUCAUGCUCAGUCAGUGUUUUAUUCAGUCAGGCCACAGCCAGGCCGCUAGGCACAGGCCAGUCAAAGUAACUAUGGCAAUUCAAAAUCAUUGUAUUUCAAGGGUUCCUCUUUCUCUCUAUGGUAAUAAAGGCAUGGCUUUCCUUUUUACUAAAUACCUAGAAAAAUCAUUGGUCACAUUCCGUACUUCCCGAUUAAAUAAGCGAGAAAAGUUUAAAAGACAUACCGGACAGGCGCUAAGAGCCGCAGGUUCCCUCGGACCGCACCCGGGCCAGGAGCCGCACUUCCCGCGAAAUGGCAGCGCCGAGUCCCAGCGGGGCGCAGCCCAGGUUCCCGGAAGCUCGCAGGUGUGUGUAGGUGCGACUGCGGCUCCGGGCGACGCUGUUUGCCUGCGGUGUUUCACACGUUACCCUGUGAGUAAACGUUGAUCACCCUUAUUGUGUCCGGUUGGUACAUUUAACAGCUUCUGAAAUACUUUGCAGGGGGGCUACAACAAUAUUUAUAUUAAAAAAAGAAAAAAGGAAAGAAAAAAAAACAGAACAAAAGACGAUCGCACAGUAGAGAAGAUCAGCGGGAGGAGCCGACCUAAGCCGGCUGGACUGGUUUCUGCUUGUGGAGCCCGGGGCAGCGUCCAACAAGCCCGAACUCAUCUGCUGCUACGGUGCUCAGAUACCGGUCCUGCUGCCAGCGGGAGGCGUUUGCAAAAUGAUAUGUGACGAAUCCCUACAGUUACUUAAUUUUGUUUCUGGACAUGGCUAUUUUGUCCCUGUGGUACACACACACACACACACACAAACACGGAGAGAGCGAGAGAAGGAGAAGGAUUUGAAAUGCCUAAUGUUUUCUCAACUUUCUUGCACAAUCAACCAUUUCUAAUCGUCGUUAUCGCACACCAGAGGUGUAGGGGUGGUUAAAUGCAUGUAUAUGGUCUGUACCCACCUAAAAAUUGUAUGUAGUGUAACAGGAUACCAUCCUACCUACCACCACACUCAGCAUAAACACUCAUGUUUGCAAACGUGGUCCUGUAUCAAAUCUGAUCGGAAUGAAGAUUAGUGGUAUCAUAACAUGGUUUCGUAACAUGUUUGUGAAGUUUUUGAAAAGAUCUGACAGACACGAUGCAUCAUUCUUCUGACUGCUCCACUCUCGGUUACUGCUAAUUGAAAUACUGUGAAGUAAACUGUGCAAAUAAAAUACUGCAUUUUCCAAA
This is a non-coding RNA of Paramormyrops kingsleyae, 4102 nucleotides long. NCBI's taxonomy places the organism in Eukaryota, Metazoa, Chordata, Actinopteri, Osteoglossiformes, Mormyridae. The record is from RefSeq and is a predicted model, not a curated record.